This is a non-coding RNA of Momordica charantia (bitter melon), 128 nucleotides long. The record is from RefSeq and is a predicted model, not a curated record. Lineage: Eukaryota; Viridiplantae; Streptophyta; Magnoliopsida; Cucurbitales; Cucurbitaceae.
ACCUCUUUGCAAGCUAGAUCUAAUUUACCCACACCUACACGAAGUCGUUUUGCGGUGUGAGUUCGACGCAAACUUAAGGACGUGGUUGUGUGUGAACAGGGUCGACCGCGGUGAUGACGUGGAGAGGG